GGAUUUCCCAGAAUUGCCCAGAUCCCUGGAUCCUUCAAGUGCUCGCUCUCGUGGGAGGCUUCUGCAUUUCUGUGAGCUUUUCAGCAGCAGGAUGUUCCUCAGAAUAUGGAGAUCACGGAGGUCCUUGAAGAUUCUAUUUUGGCAGAGAGCAAUAUGGCUAAGGUGGCCCUGAGGCACACUGAUGACUGUGCUUUCUGAGCGUGCUCUUCCCACCCUUACUGAAUGGAUCCGGAAGAGGGUAUUCCCCAGCUCUCAGCUCCAAGGCACCUGCUGGAGGCAGCACGGAUCCAGUCCAUUAAAAUGCCACACUCUUCCCUGUGCUAUCUCUGGAGCCGCUGUUGCUUUGUUGUAGCCCAUCUCAACUCGGUAGUGGCCAAGAGGUGAACCAAAUGGGUGAGGAAUUUUUCCCCACAUCCUUUAACGGUGGUGCCCGUCUCUGCAAACUCAUCCAGAAGCGUGCAUUUUGAAACUGCAAGUAUAAUGUAUGAAGCACAUGGAGUGUAAGCUUGGAGACGAAGACAGCUACUGAGUGGCAGAACUGGGAUCAGAACUCUUGUGCACUGGACACCACAUCCUGUUUGCUUAUCCUAGAACCAGAUUUUUGGAAGUGUUUUGGAUCAAUUCAGGACAUCAAAGCAGCCAGCAGCACCACUAAAGACAUUCUCGGAGAGGACUCCAGAGCUGCUCCAGACUGUGGCAAGGAUGUUGGAAUCAGUGUGUCUGAAGUGAAGGGAGUACUGUUGAGGGGAUUCACGGCAAUGUGUCCACUAUGCCAUCCGGACUGCCAUGGAGUCCUUCGGGGAUCUGUGACAGCUGAACGGGCGCUUUGCCUUUUGACCGGGAAGGAAGGGCUCGCAGGGCAGCCGGGUCUCCACAUGACGCUGACGGGAGCCUGCCACCCCCGCGUCAGCUGCGGCCUCCAACCCGCGUCCAGGUUCCCUCCCUCGUGACGCUCCAGGCUCGAAGACACCACCAUGAUGCGGCAAGGUUGUUUACCUUCGCUCCUUCACAAAAGAUAACCCAACAAAUUACAUUAAUUAUAAACCAAUAUGUUCCAUUCAAUUCCCUCAUGAGCCAAACCUGGGGACGAGCAUCUGCUCUUAUUUUCUGAGCUCGGUUUUGAGGACAAGAUUCACAACAAUGCUCGAUCCAUAAUUAACAGAGAAAUUAAAGAUGCAGCAAACCCAUUCACUGCUUUUUGAAGCAAGAUGCUUAAAAUAUCCAUGCCUACUCCUGGCAGGGGCUUUCUCUCCCAACUCUGAAAGAGUUUAUUGUUAUCGCUGGCAUGUUUCGGUUUGUUUAAAAUAUUUACAUCUAUGUCAGACUUAAAAUAAACAGGCAAAUAUUUUCCACAGAAAGAAUGAACAAUCAUUUUUUGUCCUGACAAUUUGUUUUAAAAUUUGGUUUCCUCCUUUCCCUAGGUGAUUGCCUCUCGUCCCUAAAAAUGAUGUUGAUUGCUAUUUAUUGAGGGUUGAGCACAUCGUUUCAUGUUGUGGGAAAGGGAAAUGAGC
This 1511-nucleotide long non-coding RNA is filed under the name Fukomys damarensis (Damara mole-rat). RNAcentral describes it as "lncRNA (ENSFDAG00000027171.1)". Lineage: Eukaryota; Metazoa; Chordata; Mammalia; Rodentia; Bathyergidae. The record is from RNAcentral.